Oncorhynchus gorbuscha (pink salmon) is the source of this 767-nucleotide long non-coding RNA. RefSeq lists it as uncharacterized. The record is from RefSeq and is a predicted model, not a curated record. The transcript is spliced from 3 exons. NCBI's taxonomy places the organism in Eukaryota, Metazoa, Chordata, Actinopteri, Salmoniformes, Salmonidae.
CAUCUCACCUACGGUGUAUCCUAACAAUAGUAACAUGUUUAACUGUGAAUUGGACAAAGAUAUAAUUUGGAUCAAAAAUAAGGUGGUUAGCUGUAUAGUAUAACUCGCGUUUAAUGCUACAAUAUUGUAUCUUGUUUCGUAACAAGUUAGCUAGAUUUGACACACAUUUAACACCACUGUCAGCACAAAGCCAGACAGCAGCAUACCCAAAAUAUACACAAAAACGGGCGAUAAAGCACUUACACUGGAGAGAGAAGACUCAAGGAAGAUCAUGUGUUUGAAGCAUUGGGAACAACAGAUGAGCUGUCGAUCAGCAAUGGGGUAAUGUGAUGUCCUUUCCUUCUAUUGAGUAUUAUGCUUUGUGAGUAUUCACAGUCUUGUGUUUUGCAUCAACAAAGGUCAUACUUCACAGAUCAGCUGGACAAGGUCUGAGUUUGAACUUAUUCAGUUCAUUUUUGGAGAGUAAUGAUGAACAUAUGUUAUAUUUUACUCAGUGCUUACCUGCCUAACCCUACAGAUUCAGUGUCUUACAAGAUGUGGGAUCCAACAUUACCACACUUCUGUCAUCUGCAAGAGAAAGAGAACAGAGAAAAGCAAGUUCAGUUCCCAGCCAUUGGCAGACCUGGAAAACUGUCUCGACGCAUUCACAAAGGAGCUGCCACCACUGACAAACUUUAUAUUAGCUGAAAGCACCCACUCUGGAUGAAACUUUUCAUUUCUUUAUUUCUAUUUUUUUAUUUCACCGUUAUUUACCAGAUAGGCCAGUU